Molecule: ribosomal RNA, 364 nt
Filed under: Cambarus cf. deweesae Whitley Co
Lineage: Eukaryota; Metazoa; Arthropoda; Malacostraca; Decapoda; Cambaridae
Description: partial 16S large subunit ribosomal RNA
Rfam family: Bacterial large subunit ribosomal RNA (bases 43-364)
Source: RNAcentral
ACAAGAAAUAAUCUGUCUUAGAUUAAUAUAUUGAAUUUAACUUUUAAGUGAAAAGGCUUAAAUAAUCUGAAGGGACGAUAAGACCCUAUAAAACUUUAUAUUGAAAAGUGGUAGGUAUGAUUUGUUUAAAGGUAAUUACUUUAAAGUAUUUGGUUGGGGCGACAAGAAUAGAAUGGAAAGUAACUGUUUUUUUUUUUUACAAUAAUGUUUGGGUGGAUGAUCCUAAAAUGGAUUAAAGAUUAAGUUACUUUAGGGAUAACAGCGUAAUUUUCUUUAAGAGUUCUUAUCGAUAAGAGAGUUUGCGACCUCGAUGUUGAAUUAAAGGUUCUUUAUGGAGUAGAGACUAUAAAAGAAGGUCUGUUCG